This 597-nucleotide long non-coding RNA is filed under the name Chrysolophus pictus (golden pheasant). RNAcentral's name for it is "lncRNA (ENSCPIG00010001644.1)". Lineage: Eukaryota; Metazoa; Chordata; Aves; Galliformes; Phasianidae. The record is from RNAcentral.
AUAUUUAAUUGUUGCCUUCUUUGGACAGGCACCUCACCACUGCAGCCCUGGCAUCCCCCAAUGCUAUUGGAACGGUGCUGGCAGCACUAGCUCUGACCCGGACACCCGGCCUUGGCUGGGGAAUGGAGUCUCCUCUCUCUGCCCCAUGCCAGAGGAUGUGUCCCAUAGCAGCCAGAGCCUGCCCAGAGCGUGGCACCGCGCUGCUCAGCCAGCAAGGUGCAGCCCAGGAAGCCUGGGAAUCAGCAGCUUGCAUCAAUGCUUGCAUCUCCUGGUGGCCUGCAGACAGAGAAUGGCUCCAAGCAGGAAGGUCGCGAACAGAAAAGCAUCUUUGAAGGCAAAGAAGGCUUCACCCCUCUUCAAAUCAAGAUAUUCAUAACGACUGUGAGAAGGAAGGCAGCACCUCGGAGAGGGUAAAGGAAUGAUCUGCGAAGGAGCAAUCACACACAGCCUGGGAAAGAUUUGUUCAUCUUUCAGAAGCGACUUGUGAGCAAUAGCAUGGUGGCAGAGCAAGCCACAAAACCUGCACUGCGUGCACUGCCUGACUGAAGGCACUCAGAAGGGACCCGAGGGGCCAGCAGUACAACCGUUUGAUUGCAC